This 449-nucleotide long non-coding RNA is filed under the name Malus domestica (apple). RNAcentral describes it as "long non-coding RNA (MDOM_LNC006141)". The record is from RNAcentral. Lineage: Eukaryota; Viridiplantae; Streptophyta; Magnoliopsida; Rosales; Rosaceae.
CUUGAAUGAUCAAAGAGCCUAUGACGGGAUCGCAUCUGCCCAACUCCCUCAAUGUGGCCUAUGUUAAAGACGUACCAAAAUUCAUUGACAAUUAGAUCUAAGUCAAAUAAUUGGCUUAGAUUAAGGAAUCCCACCAUCACACAGACCGCAUUUAGAGAGCAUUGAGCGAGGGCACACUUCAUAUAGCAAAGUCCUUCUUGGAAAAAGCGAGGCAUGGGAAAAGUAAAUCCCAACACAAAGCAGUAGAGGUGGAACUUGAUAGCCCUCCAAGCCCUACCACAUAGCUCACAGCUACUACCAUCCUUGACAUUCUUCACACGCACUCCCAACAGAAUAGCAUGCUUAUACGCUUCAAGGAAGUCUCUAAACAAGUCAUCGGACCUAAUUUUGAAGUGAGCAGCCUUGAAGUAGCCAACAUUGCUCAAAGACCCGCCUUGACGAUACAAUGG